CAGCAGCCGCGGUAAUACGUAGGGUGCGAGCGUUAAUCGGAAUUACUGGGCGUAAAGCGUGCGCAGGCGGUUGUGUAAGACAGGUGUGAAAUCCCCGGGCUUAACCUGGGAACUGCGCUUGUGACUGCACAGCUAGAGUAUGGCAGAGGGGGGUGGAAUUCCAUGUGUAGCAGUGAAAUGCGUAGAGAUGUGGAGGAACACCGAUGGCGAAGGCAGCCCCCUGGGCCAAUACUGACGCUCAUGCACGAAAGCGUGGGGAGCAAACAGGAUUAGAUACCCGUGUAGUCCCUGUCUCUUAUAC
This 301-nucleotide ribosomal RNA is filed under the name uncultured bacterium. RNAcentral's name for it is "partial 16S ribosomal RNA". It matches the Rfam family "Bacterial small subunit ribosomal RNA", at positions 509 to 807 of the family's 1533-position model. The record is from RNAcentral.